CGAGUUUGAUCCUGGCUCAGAUUGAACGCUGGCGGAAUGCUUUACACAUGCAAGUCGAACGGCAGCACGGGGGCAACCCUGGUGGCGAGUGGCGAACGGGUGAGUAAUACAUCGGAACGUGCCCAGUCGUGGGGGAUAACGUAGCGAAAGCUACGCUAAUACCGCAUACGAUCUACGGAUGAAAGCGGGGGAUCGCAAGACCUCGCGCGAUUGGAGCGGCCGAUGGCAGAUUAGGUAGUUGGUGGGUAAAGGCUCACCAAGCCUUCGAUCUGUAGCUGGUCUGAGAGGACGACCAGCCACACUGGGACUGAGACACGGCCCAGACUCCUACGGGAGGCAGCAGUGGGGAAUUUUGGACAAUGGGCGAAAGCCUGAUCCAGCCAUUCCGCGUGCAGGAUGAAGGCCCUCGGGUUGUAAACUGCUUUUGUACGGAACGAAACGGCCUUUUCUAAUACAGAGGGCUAAUGACGGUACCGUAAGAAUAAGCACCGGCUAACUACGUG
Molecule: ribosomal RNA, 503 nt
Filed under: uncultured bacterium
Lineage: Bacteria
Description: bacterial SSU rRNA
Rfam family: Bacterial small subunit ribosomal RNA
Source: RNAcentral